UUUUUUUUUCUGCCUAUUUUAGAGGUCAUCCUCUGCCCAUUCAGGUGGGGAAUGGCCCUCCAUGCCCUGCCUGGAAGUGGAUGUCUUUCCCUUCCUUCGGGUGGAGUUCUACAUAGGUUUUGGGUUGAAUUGCUUGUACGUUCGUUGUUCAUGGAUAAGGAUUCUUAUAACCUGCGAUAGUCUUUUGAUGCUACUUAGCAGUGUUUUGCUUGAAUCUUUUGAAACUGGUCUUCUGUUGUCUUCUCUUGGUGUUGAUGUCCAGAGCUAUGUUCGAUUUGAUGCUGAUAACUGCAAAAACCUUGCUUUAGCUUGCAGAAGGGUGCAAAUCUGUUUUAGGCUGUGAGGAUGGUCAUCUCCGGUUUGGCCGCCUGACCCUUGAAAGCUCAGAGGCUAUAGGAGCUUUGGCCAUUGACUUUUCCAUUGAUCAUCAAAGAUGGUGGUUUUUCUGCCUUUUGAGGGGCCUUCUUUGUUUCCAUGGAAGGAUAUUUUCUGGAGGAAGAACCUUCAAUGGCUUUAGGCCUUUGGUGGCGAUUUUUCCAUAUGCGGCGG
This 549-nucleotide unclassified non-coding RNA is filed under the name Hevea brasiliensis (rubber tree). Lineage: Eukaryota; Viridiplantae; Streptophyta; Magnoliopsida; Malpighiales; Euphorbiaceae. The record is from RNAcentral.